Schistocephalus solidus is the source of this 82-nucleotide non-coding RNA. Lineage: Eukaryota; Metazoa; Platyhelminthes; Cestoda; Diphyllobothriidea; Diphyllobothriidae. The record is from Rfam.
GGCCUCGUAGCUCAUUUGGUUGACCGUUGGCUGUACUAAAGCCUUCCAUUUGCUGGCGUGGGUUCGAAUCCCACCUAGGCUG